This 617-nucleotide ribosomal RNA is filed under the name Ochthebius aeneus. RNAcentral's name for it is "partial 16S ribosomal RNA". It matches the Rfam family "Bacterial large subunit ribosomal RNA", at positions 1819 to 2764 of the family's 2925-position model. The record is from RNAcentral. Lineage: Eukaryota; Metazoa; Arthropoda; Insecta; Coleoptera; Hydraenidae.
GUCUUUUUGUUUAAAAUUUAAAGUCUAACCUGCCCAAUGAUUAUUUUAAUGGCUGCGGUAUUUUGACCGUACAAAGGUAGCAUAAUCAUUAGUUUUUUAAUUGAAAACUUGUAUGAAUGGUUGAACGAGAAAAUUACUGUCUCAAUUUAAUUUAAUUAGAAUUUUAUAUUUAAGUUAAAAAGCUUAAAUUUAGUUAAAAGACGAGAAGACCCUAUAGAGUUUUAUAUUUAUUAAAUAUAAUAUAAAAGAAUUUUUUAAUAUUUAAUAAGUAUUUAAUUGGGGUGAUUAAUAAAUUUGUUUAACUUUAUUUUUUUUUAUACAUUAAUUUAUGAUAAUUUGAUCCAUUAAUUAUGAUUAAAAGAUAAAAUUACCUUAGGGAUAACAGCGUAAUUUUUUUAAAGAGUUCAUAUCGAUAAAAAAGAUUGCGACCUCGAUGUUGGAUUAAAAUUAAUUUUUGGUGUAGAAGCUAAAUAUAUUAAGUCUGUUCGACUUUUAAUUUUUUACAUGAUCUGAGUUUAAAUCGGCGUGAGCCAGAUUGGUUUCUAUCUUUAAUAAUUUUAAAAUAUUUUAGUACGAAAGGACCAAAUAUUAAUAAAAUUUAUUAUUUUAUUGAAUUA